Molecule: unclassified non-coding RNA, 144 nt
Filed under: uncultured Cenococcum
Lineage: Eukaryota; Fungi; Ascomycota; Dothideomycetes; Gloniales; Gloniaceae
Description: sequence contains ITS2
Source: RNAcentral
CACCAUUCAAGCCUGGCUUGGUGUUGGGCGAUGUCCCCUUCGAGGACACGCUUUGAAACGCUCGGCGGCGUGGCAUCGGCUUUAAGCGUAGCAGAAUCUUUCGCUUUGAAAGUCGGGGCCCCGUCUGCCGGAAGACCUACUCAA